This 518-nucleotide ribosomal RNA is filed under the name uncultured bacterium. Its description in RNAcentral is "bacterial SSU rRNA". It matches the Rfam family "Bacterial small subunit ribosomal RNA", at positions 774 to 1301 of the family's 1533-position model. The record is from RNAcentral.
AGUGAAUAGAUACCCUGGUAGUCCACGCCCUAAACUAUGUUCUCUGGCUUUUCGGAGUAUCGACCCUCUGAGAGGCGAAAGCUAACGCGUUAAGAGAACCGCCUGGGAAGUACGGCCGCAAGGCUAAAACUCAAAAGAAUAGACGGGGACUCGCACAAGCGGUGGAUCAUGCGGUUUAAUUCGAUGAUAAACGAAAACCUCACCAGGGUUUGAAAUCCAAACGAAGUCUCGGCGAAAGUUGAGAUGUCUCACAAGGACGGUUGGACAGGUGUUGCAUGGUUGUCGUCAGUUCGUGGCUUGAGCUGUUCCCUUAAGUGGGGAAACGAACGCAACCUUCGUCCCGUGUUACAAGUGUCACGGGAGACUGCCGAGCUUUGCUCGGAGGAAGCGGAGAUGACGCCAAAUCAGCAUGACCCUCUGAUAUCCUGGGCUACACGCAUGAUACAAUGGCCACUACAACAGGCUGCAAAGGAGUAAUCCGGAGCAAAUCCCAAAAACGUGGUCUCAGUUCGGAUUGA